Molecule: ribosomal RNA, 233 nt
Filed under: uncultured bacterium
Lineage: Bacteria
Description: partial 16S ribosomal RNA
Rfam family: Bacterial small subunit ribosomal RNA
Source: RNAcentral
ACGGGUGAGUAACACGUAUCCAACCUGCCGUCUACUCUUGGACAGCCUUCUGAAAGGAAAGAUUAAUACAAGAUGGCAUCAUGAGUUCACAUGUUCACAUGAUUAAAGGUAUUCCGGUAGACGAUGGGGAUGCGUUCCAUUAGAUAGUAGGCGGGGUAACGGCCCACCUAGUCUUCGAUGGAUAGGGGUUCUGAGAGGAAGGUCCCCCACAUUGGAACUGAGACACGGUCCAA